GUGGAGGGGUAAUAGAUAUAUACAGGGAGUACCAGAUCAAUGUGGAGGGGUAAUAGAUAUAUACAGGGAGUACCAGUAGCAGAUCAAUGUGUAGGGGUAAUAGAUAUAUACAGGGAGAACCAGAUCAAUGUGGAGGGGUAAUAGAUAUAUACAGGGAGUACCAGAUCAAUGUGUAGGGGUAAUAGAUAUAUACAGGGAGAACCAGUACCAGAUCAAUGUGGAGGGGUAAUAGAUAUAUACAGUGAGAACCAGAUCAAUGUGGAGGGGUAAUAGAUAUAUACAGUGAGAACCAGAUCAAUGUGUAGGGGUAAUAGAUAUAUACAGGGAGUACCAGAUCAAUGUGUAGGGGUAAUAGAUAUAUACAGGGAGAACCAGAUCAAUGUGUAGGGGUAAUAGAUAUAUACAGGGAGUACCAGAUGAAUGUGGAGGGGUAAUAGAAAGUAUUGAGACUUUAUUCUAAAAUUGAUUAAAUU
RNAcentral lists this long non-coding RNA (473 nucleotides) under Salmo salar (Atlantic salmon). Its description in RNAcentral is "lncRNA (ENSSSAG00000104721.1)". The record is from RNAcentral. Lineage: Eukaryota; Metazoa; Chordata; Actinopteri; Salmoniformes; Salmonidae.